UCCUCGUUAGCUCAGUUGGUAGAGCGCUCGGCUGUUAACCGAUAGGUCGUUGGUUCAAGUCCAACACGAGGAGCCA
RNAcentral lists this transfer RNA (76 nucleotides) under Clostridium perfringens. RNAcentral describes it as "tRNA-Asn". It matches the Rfam family "tRNA". Rfam says of the family: Transfer RNA (tRNA) molecules are approximately 80 nucleotides in length. Their secondary structure includes four short double-helical elements and three loops (D, anti-codon, and T loops). RNAcentral also lists the same sequence under 1 other name. Lineage: Bacteria; Bacillati; Bacillota; Clostridia; Eubacteriales; Clostridiaceae. The record is from RNAcentral.